AGUAGGGCGUCUCGGACCGUCACUCUCAACCCAAAGGCUCUUUUAAGAGCCACCCACAUUUUCAGUAAAAGAGUCGAUCACACUUGAUUCUUUUCGCCGGGGCUCUUGUGCGGGACAUGGCGCGCACGAAGCAGACAGCGCGUAAGUCGACGGGCGGGAAGGCGCCCCGCAAGCAGCUGGCUACCAAGGCUGCCCGCAAGAGCGCGCCGGCCACGGGCGGCGUCAAGAAGCCGCAUCGCUACCGGCCCGGUACGGUGGCGCUGCGCGAGAUCCGGCGCUACCAGAAGUCCACGGAGCUGCUGAUCCGCAAGCUGCCCUUCCAGCGCCUGGUGCGCGAGAUCGCGCAGGACUUCAAGACGGACCUGCGCUUCCAGAGCUCGGCCGUCAUGGCGCUGCAGGAGGCCAGUGAGGCUUACCUGGUGGGGCUCUUCGAGGACACCAACCUGUGCGCCAUCCACGCCAAGCGCGUCACCAUCAUGCCCAAGGACAUCCAGCUGGCCCGCCGCAUCCGCGGAGAGCGCGCAUAAGGUGUUGAUUAAUGGAAAUUUGAGACCAUCGAAAACCCAAAGGCUCUUUUAAGAGCCACCACAGCGUCACUAAAGGGCUGUAAAUUCCUUGUUAGCGGUGGGAAAUUUUUUGGGUGGCCUUGUAGUCAAGAUCUACCGUGUUAAGGGAGCCUGAGAUAAAAGAAUGCUGCCAAGUCAAAGCUGGAUGCGAGCAAGACCUCUGUGCUGACCAGCUGAGGAUUGCCUUGAGAGUUGCUAUUGGUAAUCAAGUUCUCAGGUUACAGCUUGAGCUGGGUGGAUCUGCAGAGUGAGCACUACACCAAAAAUUAACCUUCAAUCCCAUUCAAGCCACCCAGUGCUCAACUCCCAGAAACACAAGAAUCCUGCUGGCUUCUUCUUUCUGUUAACUCUUUCAUCUGACCCUCAGCCUGCUGUGGACCCUCUCCACACCCCAACACUGCUUUCUCCACACCUUUCUCUUUCAGGCCAUCCCUGGUGCUGGGCACCUCGGCCUCAGCCCAAGCUUGCUCUUAGGGAAAGGUUUCAGACUCACAAAACCCACUCCUGCAGGGACACUGGGGCAGCAAAGAGCAUGUCAAGGGCAGGGUGGCCCUGCCCCAACACUGCUUCCUCCUCACCUUUCUCAUCUGAGUCACCUGUGGUGCUUUCUCCAGUUUACAUGUAUUGACAAUGUUCAGUUCAAUAUCUGUUUCCCAGUCCUUCAUGUUCUUUUACCCUUAAACACUGUGAGGUUUUGCUGCUCCAUUAACAUGACGAUGCUUUUUUAAUGGGCUUGAUCACUUUGUCUUUACACAUCAGCCAAGUCUGUACUCUGUGGUGCUGUCCUCUGUUCUCAUGUGGAGGUUAAUGUAAUUGAGAUAUUAAAAUACCCAAUUAUAUAUCCUCUGUGUCCUUAUUGCUUCUCUCUCCACAUUUUAUUCUUGCUCAUCACAAUCUGUUUCUGAAGAUCUUCCAUUUCACUGCAUGCUAUCCCCAUGCCAUGAAUAUUUGAUGUAUUUAUGAGUAUCCCCUUUCUCUCUGCCCAUGGCUUUUUAUUUUUAUGCUCUUCCAAGCACAGCACUUAUCCAUCAAGAUGGAUCUUUAAUGCUAUACAAAAUUUUGGCCUGUAAGAGCUUCAAUUUGUGAUGCCAUCAAUAGGAAAGUAAUUGAUCCAGAGGGCACAUGAUAUACUUUUCAGUAAGUGUUCCAUAUGAUCCCAUUGAUUUUAGGGCAGUAUGCCAAUGUUAUAAUGAAAACAAGGACCUAGAGCCUAAGGUAUGAUGUAAGAAGCAUGACAAAAAAAAACAAAACAAAACCAAACACAAAAAACCAAAAACAAAUAAACAAAACAAACAAACAAGAAGCGUUUCUGAGACAGCUUUUCAGGAACAGCCAAAAGUAAAACAUAAAUCUUUGUGUGUUUUAGAUGCCAAUUCAGUGUGCUGAGGUCUGAAUGUUUCCUGAGUUAAUUCAGACUACUGCUAAUAUAGGAAAAACAGCUAAGAUCUCCAUUGCACCAAUGCAAUGAUAAAUAGCACUUGAGAGAUUCUGAAUGCUUUGCUGCAGUCAACUAGCUCUGUCAAAAUCAUUGUCACACUGAGAUUGAAGGACUUCUAAGUAACAAACAGGGCCAGCUGCAAUUCAAGUUA
Pseudopodoces humilis (Tibetan ground-tit) is the source of this 2155-nucleotide non-coding RNA. The record is from RefSeq and is a predicted model, not a curated record. Lineage: Eukaryota; Metazoa; Chordata; Aves; Passeriformes; Paridae.